CCUGACUGUCCCUGCAUGAUGCAGGAGGCUGCAGAGCAGGCAAUGAAAGUUAAGGAAGUUUUUCAUUUUGUGAUUUUUGGGUUUUUUAAGGCACAAACAGAUACUUCCAGGAAGUAGCCUCAGAAAAUAAUUUGAAAGUAACUUUUGUUGACUGCACAAAGCCAAAAUGCCUGGAAGCUGCAAUUACACCAGAGACCAAGCUGGUUUGGCUCGAGAGCCCCACGAACCCCACGCUGAAGGUGAUCGACAUCAAAGCCUGCGCAGAGGUGGCGCACAGGCACCCAGGGGUGCUGGUGGCCGUGGACAACAGCUUCAUGUCUCCAUAUUUCCAGGUGUGUCACCUGCCCCAGGUCAGGGGGAUUGGGAUGGGGUGGGAAAGGGAUUGUAUCAGAUCUGUUUCCCAGGAGACCAAGCUGAGCCCUGGUGUUGUAGGUUUGAAGUCACCGUUUUUGCAGAGUGCAAAGUGCCUGCUGGGUAUGGUGAUCUUGCUGAAUUAAGAGAACUUGGCAGAAAAUGUUAAUGCUUAGCUCAAGCAGCUCUGCAGUUGGCCUGGGACAUGCCAGAGGCUUGGGGAUUUGCCCUGCAAUGUGUUGUUCACUUCAGAAUUCCCAAUUUCCUCCAGAAAGUGCUGUGUGGAAGAGCACAGGGUGCUGGUUAAUGUGUCUGGAGCAGCCCAGUGUGGAGGGAAAGCCAGCGCUAAUGAUUAAUUGGUGGGAGCAGUAGGUGAGGUACCACACUGGGCUAAGAAAAGGAGAAUUUCACAGUCAUCUGUCCAUCAAUGUUGAGUGUAAAAGUCCUUUUCCAUUAUGGUUCUGGCUGGGCAUCUCCACAUUCCCUGGGUGAGAGUCUGCAUUUAGUGUGGCAGCAGCAGUUUUGGCAACUGCUUGCUUUGUUAAGUUUUAACAGUGAUGCCCUUCACUCUUUAGAAUGUUCUGAUACCAGGUGCAAAGUGCCUUAAUUAGUGACUGAUUAAAAAUCUGGCACUGCUCAGCCCCUCUUGCCCAUCCAGCUCCUGGUUUGUCUCCCCUCAGGAGGCUCCUGGGCAGAGCACUGGNCUUUGUGUAAGAGCCUCCUUCGGUCUUCCUUCCAAACCGAGGGAAUAUUUCUUAAGGAGUUUGUGGAUGCCCUGUAGAAAGUGCUAGAAAGGUUUGACGGGACGUGGCACAAAGCUGCCACUCCUCAAUCAGCACCUGCUCCAAACUCGCGUUGUGCUGGUGGCGCAGGAGGAAUUUGCCUUGUGAUUCCUCAUUCCACACAGAAUCCCAGCUGUGCUGAGGAGGCCCUCAGGAGGAGUCACGCUGCUGUAUCCACAUCCUGAUGACAGGAUCCAUGCUCUUGCCGGGAGCUCUGCCAGAGCGAUCUGCAGAAUUCCUGACUAUGAGGAAGUUGACAUUAAAGAGAAAUCCUAAAAGCAGGCAAAUCCCAGGGUGCUCAGCAGGUUCUCUUGGUAACAACUGCGUGCAUGAGUCUUAUUUUCCUCAUUGAAUUUGCCCAGAAUUUGCAUAAAAGCUGUGACAAUU
This 1520-nucleotide long non-coding RNA is filed under the name Zonotrichia albicollis (white-throated sparrow). RNAcentral describes it as "lncRNA (ENSZALG00000009395.1)". The record is from RNAcentral. Lineage: Eukaryota; Metazoa; Chordata; Aves; Passeriformes; Passerellidae.